AGUGAGCGCUGGCGGUAGGCCUAACACAUGCAAGUCGAACGGCAGCACAGUAAGAGCUUGCUCUUACGGGUGGCGAGUGGCGGACGGGUGAGGAAUACAUCGGAAUCUACUUUUUCGUGGGGGAUAACGUAGGGAAACUUACGCUAAUACCGCAUACGACCUACGGGUGAAAGCAGGGGAUCUUCGGACCUUGCGCGAUUGAAUGAGCCGAUGUCGGAUUAGCUAGUUGGCGGGGUAAAGGCCCACCAAGGCGACGAUCCGUAGCUGGUCUGAGAGGAUGAUCAGCCACACGGGAACUGAGACACGGUCCAGACUCCUACGGGAGGCAGCAGUGGGGAAUAUUGGACAAUGGGCGCAAGCCUGAUCCAGCCAUACCGCGUGGGUGAAGAAGGCCUUCGGGUUGUAAAGCCCUUUUGUUGGGAAAGAAAAGCAGCAGGUUAAUACCCCGCUGUUCUGACGGUACCCAAAGAAUAAGCACCGGCUAACUUCGUG
RNAcentral lists this ribosomal RNA (492 nucleotides) under uncultured bacterium. Its description in RNAcentral is "partial 16S ribosomal RNA". It matches the Rfam family "Bacterial small subunit ribosomal RNA", at positions 29 to 507 of the family's 1533-position model. The record is from RNAcentral.